ACAGAUACCGAACCACCAGUACGGGCGGUGUAGGGACGUGCAUGAAGCGUUGCUGUGACAUUGCCACUAAGGGGCCACUUUAUCGAGGGUUGAGGCAAAGAACACACAGUUCCCACGGCUGCACCCGAUAGAUAGGAGCCCAAGCACUCGGCACAAGUGGAGCAGAUAACCAGCGGCAUUAACUGAACGCGAACGUUACUGGAACCGACGUGUAAACUCGGGCUUGGUAGCCGGCUGGAACCAGCUAGCUAAAAAAGCUGAUUAGCUUAAUAUUCCUGACAGCUCGCUGUUCCGUCCACGGAUCCACUCAACCGACCGACUCGUCGUGCGGAUAUUGACUCGAAGCAACGUGGAAGAGCUGCGUGAAUUCAGUCUCGCCUUCAACCCACGGAGCAUUAGCGGACCCCGCUAGCUAGGCUGCCACCUUCAAGGGAGCCUUAACCGUUAGCUUACGCUACAGUACGGCGCACCGGCUGUAGGAGCUAAGCCACGGAUAAGAAGCCGGCCCGGUAACCGCUGCCAUGCGACCGAACCGAUAAGCCGCUCGAACAAAGACAGUCGAAGUGGAGCAGAAUCACUGAGGGUAGAUCUGCUGGUGCCUAUUCUGAGAGGUUUCCUGAGCACCACAGCAGUCCAUGUAGCAUCUCCUCUUUUACAUUUCCAUUCCUUAGCUGUCAUAGAGGUAAAGCCGUUGCCAUGGCCACUGCAAGCCUGGAUUUAAUUCCUCGAACCAGUUCCUGAUUGGCUUAGGGCUCUGGUUUUCAACCAACAGAGGAGACUCAGAUCUCCAGGCUCCCUCUGCUGGGAGAAUAAACGCAGGAAGUAAUUCAUUCUUAAAACAUGUAUUGUUUUAAGAUGUUUUCAGAGCGUUUGCAACCAUUUCCACAGUGUGCUUUAUUUGCAUAAAACAGAUAAAAAUCCUCGAAAACGUUAUCAAAUCAUCGAUAUGAAAUUCCCACAGGGAGGAUUUAUUACACUGCUGAAACCAAUUAGCUUGUGAACCUCACUGUUUAUUUUCAUGCGGUUGCUGUAUGUAAAUAAUACUAAUGCCUGUGUAUUGGGUCAUUUUUUUCUUGUGUGGAAUUUCCCAUUAUACCCGCAGGAACAUGUGGCAGUCCAAGCUAUACUGACAGUUACAGAUGAAUAUUCACACGCACGGCCGGGCCUUGGUUUUCCUAGAAGUGCAAUCCUAAGGGAGUUGCUGCUAAUGUUCCAGCAAACUCCAAAAAUGGCUCACGUAGGGCAGCAGCUACAUUCUCAGAAAGGUGUGUGUGUGUGUGUGUGAGGGGGGUUGAAAGGCCAGAGGAAAAGCCAGGGUGACUGGGACGGAUUGAAAGAAAAUAGGUUGUCUGUGUGUGAAUGUUCGUCUACUCUGCCUGUUUUGGCAUGCAUCCUCUCCAAACAUCACCACUGCUGACAUACGGCCAGUUUUCACUUAAGUCGUUAUCAAGGGCUGUCAUGAGAAUGUUGUAGGGGGAGGAGAAUGAAAGAGAGAUUUCCCAAAGGGGGUAGUGAGUAGGCUACUGGGCCAAUUGAUCGCUGGUGAACCAAGGUGUAGGAUUAAUGUAUAAUUCUUGGAGAUAAAAAGGUUUUGACUGUUUCAACUGAGAAUCUGUGAUGGAGGAAAACACCAGAAAAGAUGCAGUAGAGCAUGUGCUUGAAUUAAAGUGUGUUAUCAAAAUGA
Long non-coding RNA from Gasterosteus aculeatus aculeatus (three-spined stickleback), 1684 nucleotides. RefSeq lists it as uncharacterized. Lineage: Eukaryota; Metazoa; Chordata; Actinopteri; Perciformes; Gasterosteidae. The record is from RefSeq and is a predicted model, not a curated record.